GGAAGUUCAUCUGUACUUCUUUCUGUCUUAGUUCUGGGCUCACCGGGGAGGCCAACUCCUUCUGGUCCUCUACAUCAGAGAGGGUUUUGAUGGUCUGAGGCAGCUUGGCUGAUUUCAUCAUCGCUGUGAAAGUGAUGAUUUCUGUUCGAUCCAGGCGGCUGCAGCCUGUGCACAGCCCCUUUAUCAGCAGAAUGAGGUGUUUCUGUGAGACAGCACACGCUUCGUCUGGGUUCUCCAGACGCAGAAGGGAGAACUCAAUCAGGACUUUACAUGCUGCUGCCACCGACUGCAAUUGGUUUCUGGGUAUGAGACCACACACAGUAGUGAUGUAAUGCGUUGAAAGUGCAACAAAGGAGGAGUAAAAAGGCUCGUAUUGUUUGUCGUGGUGCAAGAUUUCUGAUUCACUCUCGAUAACGGAGGCGAGCAGCUGCGGGAGCUCUUUCAUCUCGAAGGCCGAGUAGGAGGCGGAGAGCAGCGGCCGCACCGCCACCUCCCAGCCCGGCUCCGCCGCGCCGCCGCCCGCCGCCAUCUUGCCGCUGUGCUGCGCCGGGGGGGCGGCGGCGGCCGGGGGGUGGGGGGAGCGGGCCGGAAGCGCCCCCCCACUGCGAGCCGCGAG
RNAcentral lists this long non-coding RNA (616 nucleotides) under Gallus gallus (chicken). The record is from RNAcentral. Lineage: Eukaryota; Metazoa; Chordata; Aves; Galliformes; Phasianidae.